This 468-nucleotide ribosomal RNA is filed under the name uncultured bacterium. RNAcentral's name for it is "partial 16S ribosomal RNA". It matches the Rfam family "Bacterial small subunit ribosomal RNA", at positions 28 to 507 of the family's 1533-position model. The record is from RNAcentral.
GACGAACGCUGGCGGCGUGCUUAACACAUGCAAGUCGAACGGAAAGGCCCUGCUUUUGUGGGGUGUUCGAGUGGCGAACGGGUGAGAAACACGUGAGUAACCUGCCCUUUACUUUGGGACAACUUCAGGAAACUGGGGCUAAUACCGGAUAGGUGCUCCUGCUGCAUGGUGGGGGUCGGAAAGUUUCGGCGGUUGGGGAUGGACUCGCGGCUUAUCAGCUUGUUGGUGGGGGAGUGGCUUACCAAGGCUUUGACGGGUAGCCGGCCUGGGAGGGUGACCGGCCACAUUGGGACUGAGAUACGGCCCAGACUCCUACGGGAGGCAGCAGUGGGGAAUAUUGCACAAUGGGCGGAAGCCUGAUGCAGCAACGCCGCGUGCGGGAUGACGGCCUUCGGGUUGUAAACCGCUUUCGCCUGUGACGAAGCGUGAGUGACGGUAAUGGGUAAAGAAGCACCGGCUAACUACGUG